RNAcentral lists this unclassified non-coding RNA (2087 nucleotides) under Hevea brasiliensis (rubber tree). The record is from RNAcentral. Lineage: Eukaryota; Viridiplantae; Streptophyta; Magnoliopsida; Malpighiales; Euphorbiaceae.
UUUUCAGUGAAGUCCUUUUGACCUACAAUCUCUCUCUCUCUCCCUCUCUCUGUCUCACUAUGUAAAUUUCUUAGCUUAUCAUCGCUGGUUUCGCCUAUUUUCUGAUUUCAGAUACGUAAACUUUUUCGGUUUUCAAAAUCAAACAGACUCGCAGAGGUUGUUUAUCUUGCAAUGGAUGCUGCAACAAUGAAGUCACAACACCGACCGUUUUCAAUUAAAUUAUGGCCACCUAGCCAAAACACAAGGCAAAUGCUUGUGACUCGUAUUACAGGAAAUCUCACUACUAAGUCAAUUUUCACCGAGAAGUAUGGCACUCUGAAUAAAGAGGAGGCUGAGGAGAAUGCAAAGAGAAUUGAAGAUGUUGCUUUUGUCACUGCAAACCAACAUUAUGAAAUGGAGCCAGAUGGUGAUGGAGGGUCUGCUGUGCAGCUAUAUGCAAAGGAGUGUAGUAAGCUAAUUUUGGAAGUUCUUAAAAGAGGUCCCGCGCAAAAGGAGGACAGAGAAGUCCUGGUAUCUGAAGAAGCUGCUGCAUACCAUAAUAAAGUUUUUGAUAUAUCUAAAGGCGCAAGAGCCUUUAUUGAUGCAACAGAGGCUGUGGAUAUACUUAGGCCAUUAAAGGAGCCAGGGAAUUCAUAUACUAAGAUAUGCUUCAGUAAUAGAAGCUUUGGUCUAGAAGCUGCCCGUGUUGCUCAGCCCAUUUUAGUUUCCAUAAAGGAUCAAUUGAAGGAAGUUGAUUUGUCGGAUUUUAUUGCUGGAAGACCAGAAGCAGAAGCUCUUGAUGUUAUGAAUAUAUUUUCUUCUGCUCUGGAAGGUAGCAUCCUGAAGUCCUUAGACCUCUCAAACAAUGCCUUGGGGGAGAAGGGUGUGAGGGCCUUUGGGGCACUACUUCAAUCACAAAGUUGCUUGGAGGAGCUUUAUCUAAUGAAUGAUGGCAUUUCAGAGGAAGCUGCACGAGCAGUUUGUGAAUUGAUUCCUUCCACAGAGAAGCUUAGGAUCCUUCAUUUCCAUAAUAAUAUGACAGGAGAUCCAGGGGCUCUUGCCAUUUCUGAGGUUCUGAAACGUUCUCCCUUACUGGAAGAUUUUCGAUGCUCUUCCACAAGAAUAGGCACAGCAGGAGGAAUUGCCUUGUCAGAAGCGCUCAAGACUUGCAUUCAUUUGAAGAAGCUAGACCUGCGAGACAAUAUGUUUGGUGCAGAAGCUGGAGUUGCUCUGGGUAAAGCUCUUUACAAGCAUGCUGGUCUGACUGAGGUUUAUUUAAGUUAUCUGAAUUUGGAAGAUGAGGGUGCUGUUGCCAUAGCAAAUUCUCUCAAGGAAACAGCUCCUGCGCUUGAAGUAUUGGAAAUGGCUGGAAAUGACGUAACAGUUGAAGCUGCUCCUACUGUGUCUGCUUGCAUAGCAGUGAAGCAGAAUCUGAGAAAGUUGAACUUGUCUGAAAAUGAGCUGAAGGAUGAAGGUGCUAUCCAGAUUAGCAAGGCCUUGGAAGAAGGCCAUCUUCAGUUGAAUGAAGUUGAUUUGAGCACCAACUCCAUAGGAAGGGUUGGGGCUCUGGUCUUGGCACAAGUUGUGGUGCAGAAGCCCAACUUUAAAUUGCUGAAUAUAAAUGAUAAUUGCAUCUCUGAUGAAGGCAUUGAUGAGGUGAAGGAAAUCUUUAAGAAAUUCCCGGGCAUGCUUGGGCCCUUGGAUGAGAAUAGUCCUGAAGGAUGUGAUGAUGAAGAAGAAUAUGGAGAGGAUCAGGAUGAUGGUGAUCAGCAUGACUUGGAAUCCAAACUGAAUAAACUUGAAGUUAAUGAAGAGGAUUAAAGGUUUUCUUAUUCUGGACAAGUUUCAUGGGGUUCUAUUCUAGUAGUAAUCCCGGGUAGAUAAUUAUGCAGGACAUGUUCACAGAAUUUUGGACCGACUGUUCUGUGCAAUCUUGGAAUGCUGAGCAGAGCAGUGGCUGUGAGCUGCAAUUGAAAUUAGUAGGAUCUUUCCAUCAUCUUUUUUUCAUUAGCCAUUUAUCUUGUUUUGGUUAGUGCGGCAACAAGAUUCUGUAGUAGGUUUUAAUAAUGCUAGUACUUCAUUUUCUUAAAAAAAAAUUUAUAUUUUCA